RNAcentral lists this transfer-messenger RNA (390 nucleotides) under Candidatus Kaiserbacteria bacterium RIFCSPHIGHO2_01_FULL_46_22. It matches the Rfam family "transfer-messenger RNA". From Rfam's summary of the family: Bacterial tmRNA, also known as 10Sa RNA or SsrA, is named for its dual tRNA and mRNA-like properties. Its role is to liberate the mRNA from a stalled ribosome. The record is from RNAcentral. Lineage: Bacteria; Candidatus Kaiseribacteriota. RNAcentral also lists the same sequence under 1 other name.
GGGGAUGACAGGCAUCGACGGUUUGCCCGGUUCAUCUGCGCAAUGCCGAAGUUGAAUGGGACUUCGCUAAAACUCAUUCAUCUGUACGUGCAAACAAAAGCGUACCAAGCCCGUUUGCAUACGGGUUCGCCUUCGCUCGAGCUUAAAUUUUAGCUCGCGACUGGCGACGCCGCGUUACCUGACGUUUGAUAAGGUAAUGUCGGUGGAAUAGCCAUCGAACUCUAGAUAAUUGGUUUGUUCCUCCAAUUAUCCAAAAUGUUAGGAACUGCUCGUCUGAAGGUUUUGCCUACUUUUCCACUUCAGACGCUAAGAUCUAAACUAGGCUAUGCAUUGUAGACUCAGCUGGAUCGACAUUCUCGGACGGCGGUUCAAUUCCGCCCAUCUCCACGA